Molecule: ribosomal RNA, 253 nt
Filed under: uncultured bacterium
Lineage: Bacteria
Description: partial 16S ribosomal RNA
Rfam family: Bacterial small subunit ribosomal RNA
Source: RNAcentral
GACAGAGGGGGCAAGCGUUGCUCGGAAUCACUGGGCGUAAAGGGCGCGUAGGCGGGAUGGCAAGUCGGUCGUGAAAUCCUUCGGCUCAACCGAAGAACGUCGGCCGAUACUGCCGUUCUUGAGGGAUGCAGAGGAGAUUGGAAUUCCCGGUGUAGCGGUGAAAUGUGUAGAGAUCGGGAGGAACACCGGUGGCGAAGGCGGGUCUCUGGGCAUCUCCUGACGCUGAGGCACGAAAGCCAGGGGAGCAAACGGG